UACAGAGACUGCGAGCGUUAUUCGGAUUCACUGGGCGUAAAGGGUGCGCAGGCGGCCGUGUGUGUGAGGCGGGAAAGCCUGGAGCUUAACUCCAGAAUUGCACCUCAAACUACAUGGCUAGAGCAUUGGGGAGGGUAGCGGAAUUCACGGUGUAGCAGUGAAAUGCGUAGAUAUCGUGAGGAACACCAGAGGCGAAGGCGGCUACCUGGACAAUUGCUGACGCUCAGGCACGAAAGCGUGGGGAGCAAAAGGG
RNAcentral lists this ribosomal RNA (253 nucleotides) under uncultured bacterium. RNAcentral's name for it is "partial 16S ribosomal RNA". It matches the Rfam family "Bacterial small subunit ribosomal RNA", at positions 524 to 776 of the family's 1533-position model. The record is from RNAcentral.